Non-coding RNA from Zootermopsis nevadensis, 1221 nucleotides. The record is from RefSeq and is a predicted model, not a curated record. Lineage: Eukaryota; Metazoa; Arthropoda; Insecta; Blattodea; Termopsidae.
AUUUAAGGAUAACAGAUUUUUGUUUUGAAAUUAACAAUGCCCGUCAGAUGAGCAGGCCUGUGAUAAGCUUGUGGGUAAGAAAACCUGAUAAAUUCAAACACAUGUUAAGUUUUCCCUCUGUAACACUGCAGGCAUUCUGCUGGUGAUAAAGGAAAACGCAUCUCAAGUCCAUCAGAAAUGUGAUUUGAAAUCAUUAUCCAGUUCAGAUGUGCUGUCAGUAUCAUACCAUAUUGAUCAGAAGAUUCUCCAUUGUUUCUGAGUCAUGAAGGGAAAUUGGAAUUAUGAGCUAUCAGUGUGUACUUGUUAAGAACAUUUGCUUGUUUUCCUGCUGGCAGAUAACAAUGUUUUUGGUUUUCCACCACUUUAUUUGAAAACAUCAAGUUUUUUGGUGCAGAACCAUCAGUUCCUGAACUAUUGCCACCAUAUAGGUCUGAAGUCACGCAUUUGUCUUGUCCUUCAGCCAAUUAUUGAACAGUGUCUGUAUGAGUUGGUAUGACGUAGAAAUUUAGACGAUACAUAUGUUCUCAUAGCAUCUCAUAGAUCUGAUAUCUUAACAUACAUAACACCGAGGAAGCUAUUUUAAAUCUUGUUUGUCCGUAUCAUGUGAUCCUUCCAUAUGGCACGUCCAUUUCCUUGAGAAACAGCCGACAGCUGAGAGGCCAGCAUCUUGUGCCAGUGAUUGUGCCAUCCGUUUCUGGAAGCUUUGCAGCCACGAUGACAUAUCUCCGGAUGCCGGUGAUGACAUCUGAAACCCUGCUAACUUUCAGAGACUAAUCUGGUGUCCAUCGCCUUACAGUCAACAUCACAGCAUCAUCGUGUGUGCAGCAUUUCAUGAGGUGACUUGUCUCAUACUGAUCUCACAUUGUUGCUGCAUGCAAGAAACCAAGAAGUCCAUUGUGAUGUGUUGUGAACAAAAGAUUUUUUGGGACCACAUUAAUACUCAUUAUGUUCCACUGUUACCUUCUGAAAAAUUUUAAAAGUUAGAAACAACUGCAAGGUUGUGUGAUUUGGAUUAUAUUAAUUUUGUAACUAAAACACAAAUAUUCUCUUUUAGAUGAUUUUAAUAACUGUAACAUACCGUUUUAAUUGUUAUUUUUAAAUUUUAGCAUCUAUAUUAUAGAAUUACUAAUAAAAUAAUUUUAUUUGUAUAGAAUGCUGAUAAUUCAUAUGCAGAAGUCCAUAACAAUACUUUAUAUUAUUUGUAUAGAUGCGCUAGACUAA